Cervus hanglu yarkandensis (Yarkand deer) is the source of this 137-nucleotide small nuclear RNA. Its record names the gene U4. It matches the Rfam family "U4 spliceosomal RNA". From Rfam's summary of the family: U4 small nuclear RNA (U4 snRNA) is a component of the major U2-dependent spliceosome. The structure of U4 snRNA from yeast and human has been reported. Lineage: Eukaryota; Metazoa; Chordata; Mammalia; Artiodactyla; Cervidae. The record is from Ensembl.
AGGUUUGCGCAGUGGCAGUAUCGUAGCCAAUGAGGUUUAUCCGAGGUGCGAUUAUUGCUAAUUGAAAACUAAACCUCUCUUUCUUCAAAACAUAAUGGUAACACAUUAAAAGGAAAUUUUAUAAAAUUUCAAUUCAU